RNAcentral lists this ribosomal RNA (433 nucleotides) under uncultured bacterium. RNAcentral describes it as "bacterial SSU rRNA". It matches the Rfam family "Bacterial small subunit ribosomal RNA", at positions 355 to 796 of the family's 1533-position model. The record is from RNAcentral.
UCGAGGAUCUUCGGCAAUGGGCGCAAGCCUGACCGAGCGACGCCGCGUGGACGAUGAAGGCCUUCGGGUUGUAAAGUCCUUUAGUGGGGGAGAAAAGCCGAAAGGUUUGAUCUAUCCCAAGAAUAAGCACGGGCUAAGUUCGUGCCAGCAGCCGCGGUAAGACGAACCGUGCGAACGUUGUUCGGAAUCACUGGGCUUAAAGGGCGCGUAGGCGGUCUGCCAAGUCCGGGGUGAAAUCCUCCAGCUUAACUGGAGAAGUGCCUUGGAUACUGGUGGACUCGAGCGAGGCAGGGGUUGUGGGAACUUCCGGUGGAGCGGUGAAAUGCGUUGAUAUCGGAAGGAACGCCGGUGGCGAAAGCGCACAACUGGUCCUCUUCUGACGCUGAGGCGCGAAAGCCAGGGGAGCAAACGGGAUUAGAUACCCCCGUAGUCC